RNAcentral lists this ribosomal RNA (301 nucleotides) under uncultured bacterium. RNAcentral's name for it is "partial 16S ribosomal RNA". It matches the Rfam family "Bacterial small subunit ribosomal RNA", at positions 509 to 808 of the family's 1533-position model. The record is from RNAcentral.
CAGUCGCCACGGUAAUACGUAGGUGGCAAGCGUUGUCCGGAAUUAUUGGGCGUAAAGCGCGCGCAGGCGGUUUCUUAAGUCUGAUGUGAAAGCCCCCGGCUUAACCGGGGAGGGUCAUUGGAAACUGGGAGACUUAGAGUGCAGAAGAGGAGAGUGGAAUUCCAUGUGUAGCGGUGAAAUGCGUAGAUAUAUGGAGGAACACCAGUGGCGAAGGCGACUCUCUGGUCUGUAACUGACGCUGAGGCGCGAAAGCGUGGGGAGCAAACAGGAUUAGAGACCCCGGUAGUCCCUGUCUCUUAUA